CGGAGGGGCGUAGCGUUGUUCGGAAGUUAACUUGGGCGGUAAAGACGCGCGUAGGCGGCUUUGUUAAGUUAGAGGUGAAAGACCCGGACGCUCAACUACCGGAACUGCCUUUAAGUACUGCAUCGCUAGAAUUGUGGAGAGGUAAGUGGAAUUCCGAGUGUAGAGGUGAAAUUCGUAGAUAUUCGGAAGAACACCAGUGGCGAAGGCGACUUACUGGACACAUAUUGACGCUGAGGUGCGAAAGCGUGGGGAGCAAACAGGAUU
RNAcentral lists this ribosomal RNA (264 nucleotides) under uncultured bacterium. Its description in RNAcentral is "partial 16S ribosomal RNA". It matches the Rfam family "Bacterial small subunit ribosomal RNA", at positions 526 to 779 of the family's 1533-position model. The record is from RNAcentral.